This is a non-coding RNA of Microcebus murinus (gray mouse lemur), 438 nucleotides long. NCBI's taxonomy places the organism in Eukaryota, Metazoa, Chordata, Mammalia, Primates, Cheirogaleidae. The record is from RefSeq and is a predicted model, not a curated record.
GGGGUGGCGGGGUUUCCAGCCCCAGCACAGGGGCGCAGGGAGGUGCCCGUGUCCUAAGGUGGAGGCAGCGCAAGGCAGGAGGCAGAUGUGGUGGCUAGAGAUUUAAUCACUGUCUUGGCCUGUGAGGACCAGAGAUGUAGUGGGUGGAAGGAUCAUGGAUCUCUGAGGUUUUUGAAGAUCAGAAUGACCACACUGGCUCCGAAAUUUCACAAGAGGUAGAAAUGCCUUUCUUAUACCACGGUUACUGUGGUAUUCUCCAACCUCAUCUAAUGCAAGGAGACACAGAGCACCGUGCCUUUGCCAGUCAAGGACGAAAACCAGACAGGAAUGAGAGAGAGCAACUCCAGGCCUCCAUCUGCUCCCGUGUGGCAGGCUAGCGUUGGCAAACCUUUUCUUAACGGGCCAGAUAAUAAAUACGGCUUGCAGGCGACAUGGUCU